Cavia porcellus (domestic guinea pig) is the source of this 745-nucleotide long non-coding RNA. RefSeq lists it as uncharacterized. The record is from RefSeq and is a predicted model, not a curated record. The transcript is spliced from 2 exons. Lineage: Eukaryota; Metazoa; Chordata; Mammalia; Rodentia; Caviidae.
AUCAGAUGACAGCCACCUCACUGCCAGGGUGGCCCUUCUCUACAUGGCUGCAGAGAUGGCCAAAGUGGAAUGAGAAACCAAGCCGUAGGUGCCACUGUUUGCUGAGAAUAUAUUUCGGAAGACCGGCUGGACAAGGAAGCUUAUGCGGGCUACUCCAGACCACCAAGGACACGGGAGGAGACAGGCACACGGAGGACACAGACGGGAUGCAGCUGUGCUUUUGCCCUCAGACUCUUCCCUGCCUAGGGAGUGACAGAUGUUGCUUGCCUGUGAAUCCCCGUACUUACCUGACUUUGGUGAUGGGUGUAACAGAAUCACCAGGAAAGGACACCGGGGAAGGGCACAGUGCUGCGCACCUCUGAUUUCAGCACUUUGAGAGGCCAGCGCAGGAGGACUGCAAGUCUGAGCUCAGGCUGGGUAACUUAGUGACUGAGUGAGACCCAGCCUCAAAAUAAAAAAAUAAAGAGUUGGGGAUGUAGUUUAUUGUGAAAGCUCUAAAAAAAUAAUGGAAAAAAAUCUUUGACGGGAAACAAAAUGCAACUAGUCUCCUCUUGGUAUUUGUGGGUUAUUAGGGAACUGGAUCCAUGACUUCCCUGGAUACAAAAAUCCUCCGGUGUCCAAAUUCCUUAUAUGAAAUGGUGCCAUAUUUGUCACAUUUGUAUGUAACUCAUGCAUAGACUCCUUUACGCUUAAAAUUAUUUGUAGAUGACUUAUAAUACUUAAUAUAAGGUCAAUGCUAUGAAAA